UACGGGGGGGGCAAGCGUUGUUCGGAAUUACUGGGCGUAAAGGGCUCGUAGGUGGCCAACUAAGUCAGACGUGAAAUCCCUCGGCUUAACCGGGGAACUGCGUCUGAUACUGGUUGGCUCGAGUUUGGGAGAGGGAUGCGGAAUUCCAGGUGUAGCGGUGAAAUGCGUAGAUAUCUGGAGGAACACCGGUGGCGAAGGCGGCAUCCUGGACCAACACUGACGCUGAGGCGCGAAAGCUAGGGGAGCAAACGGG
Molecule: ribosomal RNA, 253 nt
Filed under: uncultured bacterium
Lineage: Bacteria
Description: partial 16S ribosomal RNA
Rfam family: Bacterial small subunit ribosomal RNA
Source: RNAcentral